Non-coding RNA from Taeniopygia guttata (zebra finch), 711 nucleotides. Lineage: Eukaryota; Metazoa; Chordata; Aves; Passeriformes; Estrildidae. The record is from RefSeq and is a predicted model, not a curated record.
UUGCAGUUUUAUAACUCAAAUAUCAGCUUUUGUUCGCUGGCCAAGCCCAAUGAAAACAUAAUAUUUAAAUACAAGCCCCAUUUACCUUUCAAGGAUUUUUCCUGUCCAAAAAAUUCCUGGUAAUUUGUGUCGAAUCCAGGCCCUGAACUCAUUAUUCAUCCCUUCCCCGUGCCUGUUCCUGUUCAUAGGCGCUAAUUCCACCGCUGUGACAUCAUCACCGUUGCUGUGGCGAUGGGCGGUGAUGUCACAAACACAAGACAAUAGCCCCUGGGUAGGAAUGAACCAGUGGGAAAAAUGAGUCAGGAAUGAAGGGAAAGGGACUGGAAAAAAAUACCCCAGGAUCCAAACUCCCCACCAAUGUUUUCACCUCGAUUUUCCUGGGAUUAGGGGCAGACGGGGAGCACUGUGUUGGAUUCCUGAGGGAUUGUGUUGUGUUAGGUCUUCGUCUGUGGAUUUUAGUUUGAAGGGCUCCCAGUCCCUAUUUUCAAGUGAGAUCUUUACCAUCUUAAACCAAUCCCAAAGAAUUGUGAAGCAAAAAUAGUUCCCAGUCUCCAGGGCUUUUUCUUGCUGUGCAUUCCUGAAAACCUGGCUGUGAAACCAUCCUCUGGAUUCUCCCUCCCUCUCCUGUUUCCCACAGAAGAAUCAUCUUCACCUCACCGAGGACUUUGCAAUGUCUGGAAAUAAACAGAGGAGCCCUGGGAAGUCCGGGAA